GAUGAACGCUGGCGGCGUGCCUAAUACAUGCAAGUCGAGCGAACAGACGAGGAGCUUGCUCCUCUGACGUUAGCGGCGGACGGGUGAGUAACACGUGGAUAACCUACCUAUAAGACUGGGAUAACUUCGGGAAACCGGAGCUAAUACCGGAUAAUAUAUUGAACCGCAUGGUUCAAUAGUGAAAGACGGUUUUGCUGUCACUUAUAGAUGGAUCCGCGCCGCAUUAGCUAGUUGGUAAGGUAACGGCUUACCAAGGCAACGAUGCGUAGCCGACCUGAGAGGGUGAUCGGCCACACUGGAACUGAGACACGGUCCAGACUCCUACGGGAGGCAGCAGUAGGGAAUCUUCCGCAAUGGGCGAAAGCCUGACGGAGCAACGCCGCGUGAGUGAUGAAGGUCUUCGGAUCGUAAAACUCUGUUAUUAGGGAAGAACAAAUGUGUAGGUAACUAUGCACGUCUUGACGGUACCUAAUCAGAAAGCCACGGCUAACUACGCG
Molecule: ribosomal RNA, 497 nt
Filed under: uncultured bacterium
Lineage: Bacteria
Description: partial 16S ribosomal RNA
Rfam family: Bacterial small subunit ribosomal RNA
Source: RNAcentral